AUUUAAAUAGCUUAAUUAAGAGUAUAAUAUUGAAGAUAUUAUGGUAAUCAUAUGAUUUUUAAAUA
Molecule: transfer RNA, 65 nt
Filed under: Neptis namba
Lineage: Eukaryota; Metazoa; Arthropoda; Insecta; Lepidoptera; Nymphalidae
Also listed under: 1 other name
Description: tRNA-Phe
Source: RNAcentral